CGGGGUGGAAGCGCGGCAACGUGUGCAGCUGACGAGUACUAAUCGGUCGAGGGCUUAUCCAAAUA
RNAcentral lists this ribosomal RNA (65 nucleotides) under Cohnella xylanilytica. RNAcentral describes it as "partial 23S ribosomal RNA". The record is from RNAcentral. Lineage: Bacteria; Bacillati; Bacillota; Bacilli; Caryophanales; Paenibacillaceae.